Molecule: ribosomal RNA, 497 nt
Filed under: uncultured bacterium
Lineage: Bacteria
Description: partial 16S ribosomal RNA
Rfam family: Bacterial small subunit ribosomal RNA
Source: RNAcentral
GACGAACGCUGGCGGCGUGCCUAAUACAUGCAAGUCGAACGCUGAAGAGAGGAGCUUACUCUUCUUGGAUGAGUUGCGAACGGGUGAGUAACGCGUAGGUAACCUGCCUUGUAGCGGGGGAUAACUAUUGGAAACGAUAGCUAAUACCGCAUAACAAUGGAUGACACAUGUCAUUUAUUUGAAAGGGGCAAUUGCUCCACUACAAGAUGGACCUGCGUUGUAUUAGCUAGUAGGUGAGGUAAUGGCUCACCUAGGCGACGAUACAUAGCCGACCUGAGAGGGUGAUCGGCCACACUGGGACUGAGACACGGCCCAGACUCCUACGGGAGGCAGCAGUAGGGAAUCUUCGGCAAUGGGGGCAACCCUGACCGAGCAACGCCGCGGGAGUGAAGAAGGUUGUCGGAUCGUAAAGCUCUGUUGUAAGUCAAGAACGGGUGUGAGAGUGGAAAGUUCACACUGUGACGGUAGCUUACCAGAAAGGGACGGCUAACUACGUG